GAAAUGCGAUAAGUAGUGUGAAUUGCAGAAUUCAGUGAAUCAUCGAAUCUUUGAACGCACAUUGCGCCCUUUGGUAUUCCUUAGGGCAUGCCUGUUCGAGCGUCAUUUGGAAACUCAAGCUCAGCUUGGUGUUGGGUGUCUGUCUCCGCCCCGCGGGGACUCGCCUCAAAAGCAUUGGCGGCCGGUACGUUGGCUUCGAGCGCAGCAGAAACGCGAACUCGGGGCUGGCGGAUCGGCGACCAGAAGUAUCUUCUUUACAGCUUGACCUCAGGUCAGGCGGGGCUACCCGCUGAGUUUAA
RNAcentral lists this unclassified non-coding RNA (299 nucleotides) under uncultured fungus. Its description in RNAcentral is "sequence contains ITS1". The stretch from base 1 to 105 matches the Rfam family "5.8S ribosomal RNA", at positions 50 to 154 of the family's 154-position model. The record is from RNAcentral. Lineage: Eukaryota; Fungi.